Molecule: ribosomal RNA, 497 nt
Filed under: uncultured bacterium
Lineage: Bacteria
Description: partial 16S ribosomal RNA
Rfam family: Bacterial small subunit ribosomal RNA
Source: RNAcentral
GGUGAACGCUGGCGGCGUGCCUAAUACAUGCAAGUCGAGCGAACAGACGAGGAGCUUGCUCCUCUGACGUUAGCGGCGGACGGGUGAGUAACACGUGGAUAACCUACCUAUAAGACUGGGAUAACUUCGGGAAACCGGAGCUAAUACCGGAUAAUAUAUUGAACCGCAUGGUUCAAUAGUGAAAGACGGUUUUGCUGUCACUUAUAGAUGGAUCCGCGCCGCAUUAGCUAGUUGGUAAGGUAACGGCUUACCAAGGCAACGAUGCGUAGCCGACCUGAGAGGGUGAUCGGCCACACUGGAACUGAGACACGGUCCAGACUCCGACGGGAGGCAGCAGGAGGGAAUCUUCCGCAAUGGGCGAAAGCCUGACGGAGCAACGCCGCGUGAGUGAUGAAGGUCUUCGGAUCGUAAAACUCUGUUAUUAGGGAAGAACAAAUGUGUAAGUAACUAUGCACGUCUUGACGGUACCUAAUCAGAAAGCCACGGCUAACUACGUG